AGGAAUGAAAGAGGAUGGAUGAAAGAGGAAGAAAAUCAAGGCAGGAUUUGAAUGAAAGAGGAUGGAUGAAAGAGGAAGAAAAUCAAGGCAGGAUUUGAAUGAAAGAAGAUUAAACAGUAAGAAAAACAUGAAUGAAAGAUGAUGGACUAAAGAGGAAGAAAAAAGGAGGUUUUGUUAGUUUUUCACAAAAUAUUUAUUGGCUUUAAAUUAGAAAAUUUUACCUUAAUAAGAAUCAAACUUCCCAAUUAA
This is a long non-coding RNA of Xenia sp. Carnegie-2017, 249 nucleotides long. RefSeq lists it as uncharacterized. The record is from RefSeq and is a predicted model, not a curated record. The transcript has 4 exons. Lineage: Eukaryota; Metazoa; Cnidaria; Anthozoa; Malacalcyonacea; Xeniidae.